Molecule: ribosomal RNA, 468 nt
Filed under: uncultured bacterium
Lineage: Bacteria
Description: partial 16S ribosomal RNA
Rfam family: Bacterial small subunit ribosomal RNA
Source: RNAcentral
GACGAACGCUGGCGGCGUGCUUAACACAUGCAAGUCGAACGGAAAGGCCCUGCUUUUGUGGGGUGCUCGAGUGGCGAACGGGUGAGUAACACGUGAGUAACCUGCCCUUGACUUUGGGAUAACUUCAGGAAACUGGGGCUAAUACCGGAUAGGAGCGCCUGCUGCAUGGUGGGGGUUGGAAAGUUUCGGCGGUUGGGGAUGGACUCGCGGCUUAUCAGCUUGGUGGUGGGGUAGUGGCUUACCAAGGCUUUGACGGGUAGCCGGCCUGAGAGGGUGACCGGCCACAUUGGGACUGAGAUACGGCCCAGACUCAUACGGGAGGCAGCAGUGGGGAAUAUUGCACACUGGGCGGAAGCCUGAUGCAGCAACGCCGCGUGCGGGAUGACGGCCUUCGGGUUGUAAACCGCUUUCGCCUGUGACGAAGCGUGAGUGACGGUAAUGGGUAAAGAAGCACCGGCUAACUACGUG